Molecule: transfer RNA, 79 nt
Filed under: Staphylothermus hellenicus DSM 12710
Lineage: Archaea; Thermoproteati; Thermoproteota; Thermoprotei; Desulfurococcales; Desulfurococcaceae
Description: tRNA-Val
Rfam family: tRNA
About the family: Transfer RNA (tRNA) molecules are approximately 80 nucleotides in length. Their secondary structure includes four short double-helical elements and three loops (D, anti-codon, and T loops).
Source: RNAcentral
GGGCCCGUCGUCUAGCCUGGUUAGGACGCCGCCCUUACGAGAGAGGCGGAGGUCCGGGGUUCAAAUCCCCGCGGGCCCA